This 82-nucleotide transfer RNA is filed under the name Echinostoma caproni. It matches the Rfam family "tRNA". Rfam says of the family: Transfer RNA (tRNA) molecules are approximately 80 nucleotides in length. Their secondary structure includes four short double-helical elements and three loops (D, anti-codon, and T loops). Lineage: Eukaryota; Metazoa; Platyhelminthes; Trematoda; Plagiorchiida; Echinostomatidae. The record is from Rfam by way of RNAcentral.
GGCCUCGUAGCUCAGCUGGUAGAGCGUGCGCAUACAAAGCAUAGGGAGCGCUCAUGCGUGGGUUCGAAUCUCACCGAGGCUA